GGAAUAUUGGGCAAUGGCCGAGAGGCUGACCCAGCCAUGCCGCGUGCAGGAAGAAGGCCUUCUGGGUUGUAAACUGCUUUUAUCGGGGAAGAAAACGCUCCUGCGGGAGUAACUGACGGUACCCGAUGAAUAAGCACCGGCUAACCCCGUGCCAGCAGCCGCGGUAAUACGGAGGGUGCAAGCGUGGUCCGGAUUUAUUGGGUCUAAAGGGUGCGUAGGCGGCCCGUUAAGUCAGCGGUGAAAUCCCAGGGCUCAACCCUGGAACUGCCGUUGAUACUGGCGGGCUUGAGUUCGGUCGAGGCGGGCGGAACUGGUGGUGUAGCGGUGAAAUGCAUAGAUACCACCAAGAACCCCGAUUGCGUAGGCAGCUCGCUGGCCCGAAACUGACGCUGAGGCACGAAAGCGUGGGGAGCGAACA
RNAcentral lists this ribosomal RNA (418 nucleotides) under uncultured bacterium. Its description in RNAcentral is "bacterial SSU rRNA". It matches the Rfam family "Bacterial small subunit ribosomal RNA", at positions 358 to 774 of the family's 1533-position model. The record is from RNAcentral.